AGAGUUUGAUCCUGGCUCAGGAUGAACGCUGGCGGCAUGCCUAACACAUGCAAGUCGAUCGGUAAGGCUCUUCGGAGUACACGAGAGGCGGACGGCUGAGUAACGCGUAGGAACACACCCUGCAGUGAGGGAUAAGACACCGAAAGGUGUUCUAAUACCGCAUACGGUCUUCGGAUUAAAGCAUUUAUGCGCUGAAGGAGUGGCCUGCGUCAUAUUAGAUAGUUGGUGAGGUAAUGGCUCACCAAGUCGAUGAUGUGUAGCUGGUCUGAGAGGAUGAUCAGCCAGACUGGAACUGAGACACGGUCCAGACUCCUACGGGAGGCAGCAGUGAGGAAUAUUUCACAAUGAGCGAAAGCUUGAUGGAGCAAUGCCGCGUGCAGGAUGAAGGCCCUCGGGUUGUAAACUGCUUUUAUAAGAGAAGAUUAUGACGGUAACUUAUGAAUAAGGGACGGCUAACUACGUGCCAGCAGCCGCGGUCAUACGUAGGUCCCGAGCGUUAUCCGGAGUGACUGGGCGUAAAGAGUUGCGUAGGCGGUCAAGUUAGCGAGCGAUGAAAACUAUCGGCUCAACCGAUAGCUUGUUGUUCGAACUGCUUGACUCGAGAGUAUCAGAGGUCGCUGGAAUUCCUAGUGUAGCAGUGAAAUGCGUAGAUAUUAGGAAGAACACCGAUGGCGUAGGCAGGCGACUGGGAUAUUUCUGACGCUAAGGCACGAAAGCGUGGGUAGCGAACCGGAUUAGAUACCCGGGUAGUCCACGCCGUAAACGAUGGAUGCUAAUUGUUUGAGGUAUCGACCCCUCGAGUAAUAAAGCUAACGCGUUAAGCAUCCCGCCUGUGGAGUACGGCCGCAAGGCUAAAACAUAAAGGAAUUGACGGGGAC
This 878-nucleotide ribosomal RNA is filed under the name uncultured Candidatus Saccharibacteria bacterium. RNAcentral's name for it is "bacterial SSU rRNA". It matches the Rfam family "Bacterial small subunit ribosomal RNA", at positions 8 to 920 of the family's 1533-position model. Lineage: Bacteria; Candidatus Saccharimonadota. The record is from RNAcentral.